UUUUUCAGCCUCCGCAGCAGCCAGCCAUCACUAACAGAAGUAAGGGGAGAAGUCUUAGCAACUUCAUUAGACAUUGUGAGAUUGCUCUGUCCCCCAGGCUGGAGUGCAAUGGUAAAAUCUCAGCUCACUGCAACCUCCACCUCCCAGGUUCAAGCAGUUCUCCUGCCUCAGCCUCCUGAGUGGCUGGGAUUACAAGCACGCGCCAACAUGCCCCACUAAUUUUUGUAUUUUUAGUAGAGGAGGGGUUUUGCCAUGUUGGCCAGGCUGGUCUCGAACUCCUGACCUCAGAUGAUCUGCCCAUCUCAGCCUCCAACGGUGCUGGGAUUACAGGCAUGAGCCACCGCACCCAGCCGGGUGUUUCUUUACAGCAAUCAGAAAAUAGACUAAUACAGGGACAGGUGCCUGACAUGGAAGGAACAUCCAUCUUGGACUACAUGGAGUGAAAAGCAAGGGCUGAAUACGAUGGAACAAGAAGACGGAAGACGCCUGUCUUCUCAGGAUGGUGGUGCCAUUAUGCCAGCUGAAUCUAUGUGCAACAAAAAGAAACCAAGACAAGUAUCCACAAAAGGAGAAACAUGGGCCGGGCGCGGUGGCUCACGCCUAUAAUCCCAGCACUUUGGGAGGCCGAGGUGGACGGAUCACAGGGUCAGGAGAUUGAGACCAUCCUGGCUAACAUGGUGAAACCCCGUCUCUACUAAAAUACAAAAAAAAAAUUAGCUGGGCGUGGUUGCGGGCGCCUGUGGUCCCAGCUAUUCGGGAGGCUGAGGCAGGAGAAUAGCACCAACCCGGGAGGCGGAGCUUGCAGUGAGCAGAGAUUGCGCCACUGCACUCCAGCCUGGGCAACACAGACUCCGCCUCAAAAAAAAAACAAAAAACAAAAGGAGAAAUACAGGAUGUUUUACAGUGCUUGUGGUGCUUGAUUUUUAUAUCUUGUCAUUAAGCUAUGCCUUUAUUUCCUUUGUGUUAAACCUCUAUUCUUGUUUACACCUGUUUUCUAUCUGUAGUUCAAAAACAUAAUGAAUAUUUCAUCUAUGUAGUUUCUUUGUAAAGUCUUUUGAGCUCUAACC
This 1067-nucleotide long non-coding RNA is filed under the name Homo sapiens (human). RNAcentral describes it as "HSALNT0132732". The record is from RNAcentral. Lineage: Eukaryota; Metazoa; Chordata; Mammalia; Primates; Hominidae.